RNAcentral lists this ribosomal RNA (22 nucleotides) under Trichuris discolor. RNAcentral describes it as "partial 28S ribosomal RNA". The record is from RNAcentral. Lineage: Eukaryota; Metazoa; Nematoda; Enoplea; Trichinellida; Trichuridae.
GACCUCAGAUCAGACGAGGCUA